Molecule: ribosomal RNA, 638 nt
Filed under: uncultured bacterium
Lineage: Bacteria
Description: bacterial SSU rRNA
Rfam family: Bacterial small subunit ribosomal RNA
Source: RNAcentral
CAAUUGCCGGCGACCGGCGCACGGGUGAGUAACGCGUAUCCAACCUUCCGUACACUCAGGGAUAGCCUUUCGAAAGAAAGAUUAAUACCUGAUGGUAUGAUGAGAUUGCAUGAUAGCAUCAUUAAAGAUUUAUCGGUGUACGAUGGGGAUGCGUUCCAUUAGGUAGUAGGCGGGGUAACGGCCCACCUAGCCAACGAUGGAUAGGGGUUCUGAGAGGAAGGUCCCCCACAUUGGAACUGAGACACGGUCCAAACUCCUACGGGAGGCAGCAGUGAGGAAUAUUGGUCAAUGGACGAGAGUCUGAACCAGCCAAGUAGCGUGAAGGAUGAAGGUCCUACGGAUUGUAAACUUCUUUUAUAAGGGAAUAAACCCUCCCACGUGUGGGAGCUUGUAUGUACCUUAUGAAUAAGCAUCGGCUAACUCCGUGCCAGCAGCCGCGGUAAUACGGAGGAUGCGAGCGUUAUCCGGAUUUAUUGGGUUUAAAGGGAGCGCAGACGGGUCGUUAAGUCAGCUGUGAAAGUUUGGGGCUCAACCUUAAAAUUGCAGUUGAUACUGGCGUCCUUGAGUGCGGUUGAGGUGUGCGGAAUUCGUGGUGUAGCGGUGAAAUGCUUAGAUAUCACGAAGAACUCCGAUUGCGA